Molecule: ribosomal RNA, 823 nt
Filed under: uncultured bacterium
Lineage: Bacteria
Description: bacterial SSU rRNA
Rfam family: Bacterial small subunit ribosomal RNA
Source: RNAcentral
UGAGUAACGCGUAGGUAACCUGCCUGGUAGCGGGGGAUAACUAUUGGAAACGAUAGCUAAUACCGCAUAACAGUCGACAUUGCAUGAUGUUGAUUUGAAAGGGGCAAAUGCUCCACUACCAGAUGGACCUGCGUUGUAUUAGCUAGUUGGUGAGGUAACGGCUCACCAAGGCGACGAUACAUAGCCGACCUGAGAGGGUGAUCGGCCACACUGGGACUGAGACACGGCCCAGACUCCUACGGGAGGCAGCAGUAGGGAAUCUUCGGCAAUGGACGGAAGUCUGACCGAGCAACGCCGCGUGAGUGAAGAAGGUUUUCGGAUCGUAAAGCUCUGUUGUAAGAGAAGAACGAGUGUGAGAGUGGAAAGUUCACACUGUGACGGUAACUUACCAGAAAGGGACGGCUAACUACGUGCCAGCAGCCGCGGUAAUACGUAGGUCCCGAGCGUUAUCCGGAUUUAUUGGGCGUAAAGCGCGCGUAGGCGGUUUUUUAAGUCUGAUGUGAAAGCCCACGGCUCAACCGUGGAGGGUCAUUGGAAACUGGAAAACUUGAGUGCAGAAGAGGAAAGUGGAAUUCCAUGUGUAGCGGUGAAAUGCGCAGAGAUAUGGAGGAACACCAGUGGCGAAGGCGACUUUCUGGUCUGUAACUGACGCUGAUGUGCGAAAGCGUGGGGAUCAAACAGGAUUAGAUACCCUGGUAGUCCACGCCGUAAACGAUGAGUGCUAAGUGUUAGGGGGUUUCCGCCCCUUAGUGCUGCAGCUAACGCAUUAAGCACUCCGCCUGGGGAGUACGACCGCAAGGUGAAACUUAAAGGAAUUGACGGU